This 187-nucleotide ribosomal RNA is filed under the name uncultured bacterium. RNAcentral's name for it is "partial 16S ribosomal RNA". It matches the Rfam family "Bacterial small subunit ribosomal RNA", at positions 521 to 707 of the family's 1533-position model. The record is from RNAcentral.
UAAUACGUAGGGGGCUAGCGUUGUCCGGAAUCAUUGGGCGUAAAGAGCGUGUAGGCGGCCCGGUAAGUCCGCUGUGAAAGUCGGGGGCUCAACCCUCGAAUGCCGGUGGAUACUGUCGGGCUAGAGUGCGGAAGAGGCGAGUGGAAUUCCUGGUGUAGCGGUGAAAUGCGCAGAUAUCAGGAGGAAC